RNAcentral lists this ribosomal RNA (441 nucleotides) under uncultured bacterium. RNAcentral's name for it is "partial 16S ribosomal RNA". It matches the Rfam family "Bacterial small subunit ribosomal RNA", at positions 338 to 795 of the family's 1533-position model. The record is from RNAcentral.
CCUACGGGUGGCAGCAGUGAGGAAUAUUGCACAAUGGGCGAAAGACUGAUGCAGCAACGCCGCAUGAAGGAAGACGGUUUUAGGAUUGGAAACUUCUGUUCUUUGUGAAGAAUAAUGACGGUAAAUAAGGAGCAUGCAACGUCUAACUACGUGCGAGCAGCCGCGGUACUACGGAGGUGGCAAGCGUUUUCCGGGAGGACUGGGUGUAAAGGGAGCGUAGGCGGGUAGCCAAGUCAGCUGUGAAAGGUACGGGCUUAACCUGUAGACUGCAGUUGAAACUGGCUUUCUUGAUUGAAGUAGAGGUUGGCGGAAUUCCGAGUGUAGCGGUGAAAUGCGUAGAUAUUAGGAGGAACACCGAUGGCGAAGGCGGCCAACUGGGCUUUAACUGACGCUGAGGCUCGAAAGUGUGGGGAGCAAACAGGAUUAGAUACCCGUGUAGUC